This is a non-coding RNA of Coturnix japonica (Japanese quail), 402 nucleotides long. NCBI's taxonomy places the organism in Eukaryota, Metazoa, Chordata, Aves, Galliformes, Phasianidae. The record is from RefSeq and is a predicted model, not a curated record.
CAGAAAGUCAGUUUAAAAAAACAUGAGCAUGCAUAACAAUGAAGCUAACGGAAUAUACUGUGAUGAAACAAAGCACUGAUGACAUAAAAAUAGGUAGCAAAAAAUGUUUACAAUAUAGUUCUCAUGUUGUCAUGGUGAAACUUCUGAGUUACAAGGUUGAAGAAGCUGGCAACACAUAAGCAGAUAAGACUACCAUCAACACCAAGGAACUGCUUUACCAGGCCCAUACACAUCCCAAAUGGUUAGAGCCACCUGAGCAUUGCGAGGCAAGUCUGGAUACUUCACAGGCAGUUUCAGCCACUCAUUCCAGCUGCAAGACAACAUGGAACGCAGAUACCUCUGUUGUGAAUAACCAGCAAGCAGUGAAAUCCAAACAUCCAAAAUAAAUUCUAUAUUUGAAAA